This 1570-nucleotide ribosomal RNA is filed under the name uncultured bacterium. Its description in RNAcentral is "bacterial SSU rRNA". It matches the Rfam family "Bacterial small subunit ribosomal RNA". The record is from RNAcentral.
CAUAAMAAAUACAUGUUGAUCGGAGAGACUUUUCGGCACCGGCUGCUSAGGCAGAGCGGAAGUGGAAGCGAAGGGCGGACGAGACAGGCAGGGAGCGGAACGGGAAGUGAGGGACUGGAAGUGUGGGUUACGGCCAACACGGAAGGCAAGAUGUCACAGGAGCAGGUGCUGAGAAGACUUUUAGCGGCGGACGGGUGAGUAACGCGUGAACAAUCUGUCCCGAACAGGGGGAUAACAGAUGGAAACAUCUGCUAAUACCGCAUAAGACCACGCACUCGCAUGGGUGUGGGGUAAAAGGAGCAAUCCGGUUUGGGGUGAGUUCGCGUCUGAUUAGCUAGUUGGCGGGGUAACGGCUCACCAAGGCGACGAUCAGUAGCCGACCUGAGAGGGUGAUCGGCCACACUGGAACUGAGAAACGGUCCAGACUCCUACGGGAGGCAGCAGUGGGGAAUAUUGGGCAAUGGGCGAAAGCCUGACCCAGCAACGCCGCGUGAAGGAAGAAGGUUUUCGGAUUGUAAACUUCUGUCCUCAGGGAAGAAGAAAGUGACGGUACCUGAGGAGGAAGCCCCGGCUAACUACGUGCCAGCAGCCGCGGUAAUACGUAGGGGGCGAGCGUUGUCCGGAAUGACUGGGCGUAAAGGGCGCGUAGGCGGUUUGGUGUGUCGAAUGUGAAAGCCCACAACUCAACUGUGGAAUGGCAUUCGAAACUACCGAGCUAGAGUACUGGAGAGGAGAGCGGAAUUCUUGGUGUAGCGGUGAAAUGCGUAGAUAUCAAGAGGAACACCGGUGGCGAAGGCGGCUCUCUGGACAGAUACUGACGCUGAGGCUCUAAAGUUAGGGGAGCAAACAGGAUUAGAUACCCUGGUAGUCCUAACCUUAAACGGUGUACACUUGGUGUGCGAGGAAUUGUCCCUUUGCGCGCCGCAGCUAACGCGAUAAGUGUACCGCCUGGGGAGUACGGUCGCAAGAUUAAAACUCAAAGGAAUUGACGGGGACCCGCACAAGCGGUGGAGCAUGUGGCUUAAUUCGAUGCAACGCGAAGAACCUUACCUGGACUUGACAUGCUGGUAGUAGAAUCCUGAAAGGGAGACGACGGUAGCAAUACCGAGCCAGCACAGGUGCUGCAUGGCUGUCGUCAGCUCGUGCCGUGAGGUGUUGGGUUAAGUCCCGCAACGAGCGCAACCCCUGUGGUUAGUUGCCCUUAUUCAGUUAGGCACUCUAGCCAGACUGCCUGUGAUAAGCAGGAGGAAGGUGGGGAUGACGUCAAGUCAGUAUGGUCCUUAUGUCCAGGGCUGCACACGUGCUACAAUGACCGGUACAAAAGGAAGCAAGGCCGCGAGGCGGAGCUAAUCCCCAAAACCGGUCUCAGUUCGGAUUGGAGUCUGCAACCCGACUCCAUGAAGCUGGAAUCGCUAGUAACGGCGCAUCAGCUACGGCGCCGUGAAUACGUUCCCGGGCCUUGUACACACCGCCCGUCAAGCCAUGGAAGUUGGGGGUACCUGAAGUCCGUAACCGUAAGGAGCGGCCUAGGGUAAACCAGUGACUGGGCUAAGUCGUAACAAGGUAGCCG